Molecule: long non-coding RNA, 2437 nt
Filed under: Homo sapiens (human)
Lineage: Eukaryota; Metazoa; Chordata; Mammalia; Primates; Hominidae
Description: HSALNT0121307
Source: RNAcentral
AAGAGGAGCACAAAGACAUUGAGCAGAUUGCCCGAGGCUACCCAGCUAGUGAGUAGGAACAGGGACUUCAACCCAGCUUAUUGUGUCUUUUGAGAUAUAUUACCUCCCAGUCCUAAUGUGGUUAGAAUUCCCAGAAACCCAGAUCUGUAAAUGUCUGCAUGUGACUAUUCCAGUAGCAGAGCUGCACAUGAGACAGGCAGAAGGAUCAGCAAGUAUCAACUCGGGGACCUGCUAGCCAAACGUGGCACAGUCGAGCACUCUCUAUUUGUUCCUUCACUUUCCAGUUCUGUGGAGCUGUCUUGCCAAUAAAUAAAAGGAGGAAGAUUAAAGGAGAGAAGAUUUAAAGAGUGUGUGAAGAGCAAUUCAAAGUCUAGCACUGUUUCUGGAAAACAAUUUCAAGUUCAAGCCCAGUGAGGCCACUGCCAUGCACAGAAGACAGACAGCACCAUCAGACUGCAUAGUGUUAAAUGAUCGAUUUUUGGACUAUUCAAGCUUUUUAUAUCCAUUAACUCCAAUUAAUUGGAUGGACUUAUCUUCCUUGGUGACUUGGUUUAUCGUGUGAGCCAUUCUGGCAGAAGUUAGACUUCAUGUAACCCCAUAAUGAAUUCCUGUCUAGUAGAUCACUCUAAUAGGCAAAACAUAUCGCAGCUACCCUCUGCCGGCUUCAGAGACUGGGGUCACUAUCAAACUGGUCCCUGGCCCACCUGCUUAAAUGCUGUGGCUCCUAACCACUCUUUGUGACUUUGCUGCAGCUACAGAUAUCAAGAACUCCAGUGGGCCAUGGUACUUCUUGGUCCAUGGCCGAGGGAUUAUGCAAAAGCUACAUCCAUGCAGGAGAUUUCCUUCAUAUUUGGAUAGUUUCAAAGAUAAGAGCAUCUUAUAAUAAAGGGGAAAGAAACUUCAGAAUGUCACAGGCAAAGUCUUAGGAAGUGAAGAUAUAAAGCCAAAAUAGGAGUAAAAUGUUCGUACUUGCCAUGAAGUUAAUUAACAUUCUUACUUGGAAAAAGUCAAGGUCAAACAUAAUUCAUCAAACAUAAUUCAGAGUUACUUGGCUUUAACGGAAGUGAUUCCUCAAGUCUCCCUUCAGGUUUUAAGACUUAUUAUGGAAAGCAUAAUAAAGUGUCCUACGUUUAUACAUCUGCUGAACCAUGUUAUGAAAUCCAGUACACUGUAGGCCCUGGGAUGGGGCAAGGAGCCAUUGUCCCUCUUUGCAGGUGAGAAACUGCAUCUCUGAGGAGCCAGUCACUUAUCCAAAGUGCAUCCUGCUUGGUGUUUCUAGCUGUUACCGUCUUCUGGCUGAGGACCAAUGCAAAACCCCAGUGGUGCCUCUUGUCAAGGCUAGCUGGUGCUCAUGCAGGUAUGACUUAGGUUUUGCAAUGAUGAAGCCAAAGCGCCUUGGAAGCAUUUUCCCUGCCCCGCUAACUAACUUCAUGCCAACUAGUCUGAAGGGUUCUACUCCACAGUUUCCAACAGUGCUUCUUAAGAUUGGAAAACAAAUGUACGGUAGAUGUUACUGCUUAGCUAUUGUCCUUUUAGACCUGUGCACUUUUUAAACCUCAUUUCAGUCUCUCACAUUGCAAAGAAGCUAGGGCAGGGCAAACACAAUAUUAGCUGAGGGGUCAGUAGACUCGAGGCUCAGUCCCGGCUCUUCCACUUGUUGGCAUGGUCUUCACCCCUCCAGACUAGCCUUUGCAUAGGAGUAAGACCUGCCUAUCCUAGCCUUUGCAUGGGAGUAAGGCCUGCCCAUCUCACAGGGACGUAAAGAAAUGAAAUAGCAAGAAGGGUGCAUUACAAAUUGCCAAGCAUUAGAAGUGUCAAAUACUGGAGAGCAACAAACAAAAAGGGAAAGAAUCAGAAACAGAAAGAGAGCAGGUGUGUGUGGUGGGGGAGCACUGCCUUCAGAAUUAAAACUAUGUUACAAGUUGGCUUCAUGCAAAAGCUCAGAAGAAGCUGUGUCCAGUCUUCUGAGGACAAAAUGAGAAUAAAUAUCAAACACAUAUGCCUUUCCCUGUGUUUUUCCUCUUUAAAAUAUACGGGUAACAAAAUUGACCCAGCUCUUAGAACAGGAGAAAGGAAGAGAAACAGAGCAGUUCUAAGAAAAGAUGAAGCAAGCAAAAUACCCCUCAUGUGUGAGUUCAGAACACUUCAAAGAUUGGAAUACAUGACAUUUUGCAAUGGUUGCAAGUGGCAUUCCUUGCAAAGUCCUGUGAAGUGGGGCUUGCUGCCUCCCCACUGUAGGAAUGUAGGUUCACAGUCAUGAGGGCCAUAUAGCAUGCUCCGAUGCCAACCAGUGCCAACAGGGCAAAGAGGAGGUAGUUCACUCUCUUCCUCUCAAGCUCUCACUCCCACUCAUUUAGAUUCAUGCUACUUUCAUUUUCAUAGUGCUUUAAUGAAUGGGCCUCACUCUGGCUGGCUCACAAGGUCUUGCUAUUCAAAG